Molecule: transfer RNA, 93 nt
Filed under: Pseudomonas sp. Ost2
Lineage: Bacteria; Pseudomonadati; Pseudomonadota; Gammaproteobacteria; Pseudomonadales; Pseudomonadaceae
Description: tRNA-Lys
Source: RNAcentral
GCUGGUGGCUGCGCAGGCAGAAACGCGCCAGGCUCUUGUCCGGGCUGAGGUCGAAGACGUAGAACUUGUUGAUCUGCGGCGGCACCACCAGCA